RNAcentral lists this ribosomal RNA (253 nucleotides) under uncultured bacterium. RNAcentral's name for it is "partial 16S ribosomal RNA". It matches the Rfam family "Bacterial small subunit ribosomal RNA", at positions 524 to 776 of the family's 1533-position model. The record is from RNAcentral.
UACGUAGGUGGCAAGCGUUGUCCGGAUUUAUUGGGUUUAAAGGGUGCGUAGGCGGCCUAUUAAGUCAGUUCUGAAAUAUCCCGGCUUAACCGGGAGGGUGGGAUUGAUACUGAUGGGCUUGAGUGGAGUCGAGGUAGGCGGAAUUGACGGUGUAGCGGUGAAAUGCUUAGAUAUCGUCAAGAACACCGAUAGUGUAGACAGUUUACUAGACUUCAACUGACGCUGAGGCACGAAAGUGUGGGGAUCAAACAGG